Molecule: long non-coding RNA, 1583 nt
Organism: Colius striatus (speckled mousebird)
Lineage: Eukaryota; Metazoa; Chordata; Aves; Coliiformes; Coliidae
Exons: 2
Source: RefSeq, a predicted model, not a curated record
GCCGCGCCUGUCGCCGCUACACCCGCGCCGCCUGUGCCGGGAAACAGCAGGCGAGCGGAGUAGCUACAGCCGGAGCGGCAGGAAGAGGCGGGGCCUGCGGGGAAGGCCGCCUCCGCGGCCCUGGGCGCCCGUGCCGGCCCGGCCCAGCCCGGGCGGAGGGCUUUGUUGGGAGCGGCCUGGCGAGCAUGCUGAGGAAAUGGAGCUGAACUGCCUGCAGUGCCUUGAUCCACUUUGGAAAUGAUGAGCUACUUCACUAGAGUGAAUGACAGCAUAACGGAACAGAUGUAAGGGUGCCAAAAAUCUUUUUUAACUAGCAUCUUGUUUCCAAAAGUAACUAAGAGCAGGUACCAAGGAAACAAGUGAGAACUGUACAAGCAUAUAUAGUAUUUUCCUGGCUACUCGCCCAGUUUCCAACCAGAUGACAUCCUCAGCUGAAUUGCUUUGGGUUUGAUUUUUUUCCCCCCUCCCUUGGUAGAUUGCUCUACCCUGAAUUUCUCCAGCUGCCGUGAACCCCCAUCAUCUCCAGUCUUUGGCAAGGAGUACUGCAGGUACCACUACCCUUUUUAGAGAGCAUCCUCUUGGCACUUGUUGAAGUUGAGGCCUGUUAGCUCCAGUUGCAGCCACCUUUGCUCUCGUAUGAGAUAAGAGAGCGAACCAUUGGUUCCAACACAUGCUGUCUGCCCCGCUCCCAACUGCCUUCCUCAGUAGGAGCCUCCAAGCAGGCUGUUGAGGGCAGAGCUUUUUCAGGUCUCCCAGACCACUAUGUUACUUGCCUGCUAAAGCAUCUCAGCCUCUGAGAGGAAGGUAACGCUGAGGGAUCGCAGCCUUUCUUAACUGGAUGCUGCAGGGAAGAGGUAUGCCUGCGGUGAAUGACCUCACUCAAGUCCUUGUAUUGUGUCUUCUGUCUGCCAGGGACAGGUUUGAUAGAUUUUUCUCCUCUGUAAUAUGAUCAGUUCAUCGCUUUGAGGUAAUAAUGGAUGUCUCUACAACUUGCUUCAUUUUAGAGAUUAUUUGGUCUAAAGCCUUAGCAGUCACUAGUGUUUCCUCUUUUCUUCAUAGGCACUUUCCACAAUAUUUUUCAUUGAACAACCUUAACUUUUUGGAUCAGAUGAGACAGCUGUUUUAUGGGUUUGCUAAUUUGAGACUAGCUAGGACAAAGCUGAAGAUACCGUCCAGUAAGCUCUGUAAAUGUUUGCUUUAUAUGUUUCUCAAGAAGCUUCGCAAGGCAAUUAUUUCAGUUUCCAUAGUGAGCCGGGUUUGAUGUCUUUGCUGGUCAACACACAUCCUGCUCAGAGUUGUCAUUAACUCUGUUGUCUUCUUUCUUCUGCGCGGUGCCGAACGCUUUGACAGGGACCAGAUCAAUCCCAAGUAACAAGGGAUAUUUUUUAGCCUUGAUUCCAGAGUUAGCUGUCGUGGAUGCAACUGCCAAAGAUCAGAAGAAUGUGGGCGUUUUUCCUUUCCCGGGUGGUUUCAGAAGGUGGCAGUGCCUGAGUAUCCAGACAGGCUUUUUGCAUUUAGUUCAGAAACCUCUACAUCCUGCUAGAAAACAUCUAUUAAAUGCCUGAAAUAAAUGGCUAACGUCA